GACGAACGCUGGCGGCGUGCCUAAUACAUGCCAGUAGAACGCUGAAGAGAGGAGCUUGCUCUUCUUGGAUGAGUUGCGAACGGGUGAGUAACGCGUAGGUAACCUGCCUUGUAGCGGGGGAUAACUAUUGGAAACGGUAGCUAAUACCGCAUAACAAUGGAUGACACAUGUCAUUUAUUUGAAAGGGGCAAUUGCUCCACUACAAGAUGGACCUGCGUUGUAUUAGCUAGUAGGUGAGGUAACGGCUCACCUAGGCGACGAUACAUAGCCGACCUGAGAGGGUGAUCGGCCACACUGGGACUGAGACACGGCCCAGACUCCUACGGGAGGCAGCAGUAGGGAAUCUUCGGCAAUGGGGGCAACCCUGACCGAGCAACGCCGCGUGAGUGAAGAAGGUUUUCGGAUCGUAAAGCUCUGUUGUAAGUCAAGAACGAGUGUGAGAGUGGAAAGUUCACACUGUGACGGUAGCUUACCAGAAAGGGACGGCUAACUACGUG
Molecule: ribosomal RNA, 497 nt
Filed under: uncultured bacterium
Lineage: Bacteria
Description: partial 16S ribosomal RNA
Rfam family: Bacterial small subunit ribosomal RNA
Source: RNAcentral